GCUUACGGCCAUACCAGCCUGGGUACGCCCGAUCUCGUCUGAUCUCGGAAGCUAAGCAGGUCGGGCCUGGGUUAGUACUUGGAUGGGAGACCGCCUGGGAAUACCAGUGCUGUAAGCA
RNAcentral lists this ribosomal RNA (118 nucleotides) under Salmo salar (Atlantic salmon). The record is from RNAcentral. Lineage: Eukaryota; Metazoa; Chordata; Actinopteri; Salmoniformes; Salmonidae.